This 253-nucleotide ribosomal RNA is filed under the name uncultured bacterium. Its description in RNAcentral is "partial 16S ribosomal RNA". It matches the Rfam family "Bacterial small subunit ribosomal RNA", at positions 524 to 776 of the family's 1533-position model. The record is from RNAcentral.
UACGGGGGGUGCAAGCGUUGCUCGGAAUCACUGGGCGUAAAGCGUCCGCAGGUGGGUGUGUGUGUCGGAUGUGAAAGCCCAGGGCUCAACCCUGGAACUGCAUUCGAAACUGCACAUCUUGAGUACGGGAGAGGGAAGCAGAAUUCCUGGUGUAGAGGUGAAAUUCGUAGAUAUCAGGAGGAAUACCUGUGGCGAAAGCGGCUUCCUGGCCCGAUACUGACACUCAUGGACGAAAGCGCGGGGAGCAAACAGG